GUACACUCCUGCGGGAGGCAGCAGUGGGGAAUAUUGCACAAUGGGCGCAAGCCUGAUGCAGCCAUGCCGCGUGUAUGAAGAAGGCCUUCGGGUUGUAAAGUACUUUCAGCGGGGAGGAAGGCAAUACGGUUAAUAACCGUGUUGAUUGACGUUACCCGCAGAAGAAGCACCGGCUAACUCCGUGCCAGCAGCCGCGGUAAUACGGAGGGUGCAAGCAUUAAUCGGAAUUACUGGGCGUAAAGCGCACGCAGGCGGUCUGUCAAGUCGGAUGUGAAAUCCCCGGGCUCAACCUGGGAACUGCAUUCGAAACUGGCAGGCUUGAGUCUUGUAGAGGGGGGUAGAAUUCCAGGUGUAGCGGUGAAAUGCGUAGAGAUCUGGAGGAAUACCGGUGGCGAAGGCGGCCCCCUGGACAAAGACUGACGCUCAGGUGCGAAAGCGUGGGGAGCAAACAGGAUUAGAAACCCCUGUAGUCCCAUGAU
RNAcentral lists this ribosomal RNA (479 nucleotides) under uncultured organism. RNAcentral's name for it is "partial 16S ribosomal RNA". It matches the Rfam family "Bacterial small subunit ribosomal RNA", at positions 331 to 801 of the family's 1533-position model. The record is from RNAcentral.